Molecule: transfer RNA, 81 nt
Filed under: Zhuliangozyma blackwelliae
Lineage: Eukaryota; Fungi; Ascomycota; Pichiomycetes; Serinales; Debaryomycetaceae
Description: Candida blackwelliae tRNA-Ser
Rfam family: tRNA
About the family: Transfer RNA (tRNA) molecules are approximately 80 nucleotides in length. Their secondary structure includes four short double-helical elements and three loops (D, anti-codon, and T loops). Further hydrogen bonds mediate the characteristic L-shaped molecular structure. tRNAs have two regions of fundamental functional importance: the anti-codon, which is responsible for specific mRNA codon recognition, and the 3' end, to which the tRNAs corresponding amino acid is attached (by aminoacyl-tRNA synthetases). tRNAs cope with the degeneracy of the genetic code in two manners: having more than one tRNA (with a specific anti-codon) for a particular amino acid; and 'wobble' base-pairing, i.e. permitting non-standard base-pairing at the 3rd anti-codon position.
Source: RNAcentral
GGAUGCAUGACUGAGUGGUUUAAGGUGUGAUAUUUGAGCUAUCAAGACAUUUGUCCACGUGUUCGAAUCACGUUGCAUCCG